Molecule: ribosomal RNA, 523 nt
Filed under: uncultured bacterium
Lineage: Bacteria
Description: bacterial SSU rRNA
Rfam family: Bacterial small subunit ribosomal RNA
Source: RNAcentral
UAGAGUUUGAUCCUGGCUCAGAUUGAACGCUGGCGGCAUGCCUUACACAUGCAAGUCGAACGGCAGCGCGGGGCAACCUGGCGGCGAGUGGCGAACGGGUGAGUAAUAUAUCGGAACAUACCCUAGAGUGGGGGAUAACGUAGCGAAAGUUACGCUAAUACCGCAUACGCACUAAGGUGGAAAGUGGGGGAUUCGCAAGAACCUCAUGCUCAUGGAGUGGCCGAUAUCUGAUUAGCUAGUUGGUGAGGUAAAGGCUCACCAAGGCGACGAUCAGUAGCUGGUUUGAGAGAACGACCAGCCACACUGGAACUGAGACACGGUCCAGACUCCUACGGGAGGCAGCAGUGGGGAAUUUUGGACAAUGGGGGCAACCCUGAUCCAGCAAUGCCGCGUGAGUGAAGAAGGCCUUCGGGUUGUAAAGCUCUUUUGUCAGGGAAGAAACGGUGAGUUCUAAUAAAGCUUGCUAAUGACGGUACCUGAAGAAUAAGCACCGGCUAACUACGUGCCAGCAGCCGCGGUAAUA